RNAcentral lists this ribosomal RNA (253 nucleotides) under uncultured bacterium. Its description in RNAcentral is "partial 16S ribosomal RNA". It matches the Rfam family "Bacterial small subunit ribosomal RNA", at positions 524 to 776 of the family's 1533-position model. The record is from RNAcentral.
UACGUAGGGUGCAAGCGUUAAUCGGAAUUACUGGGCGUAAAGCGUGCGCAGGCGGUUGUGCAAGACCGAUGUGAAAUCCCCGGGCUUAACCUGGGAACUGCAUUUGUGACUGCAUGGCUAGAGUGCGGCAGAGGGGGAUGGAAUUCCGCGUGUAGCAGUGAAAUGCGUAGAUAUGCGGAGGAACACCGAUGGCGAAGGCAAUCCCCUGGGCCUGCACUGACGCUCAUGCACGAAAGCGUGGGGAGCAAACAGG